Molecule: ribosomal RNA, 253 nt
Filed under: uncultured bacterium
Lineage: Bacteria
Description: partial 16S ribosomal RNA
Rfam family: Bacterial small subunit ribosomal RNA
Source: RNAcentral
UACGGAGGGUGCUAGCGUUGUUCGGAAUUACUGGGCGUAAAGCGCGCGUAGGUGGUAUAUCAAGUUGGGAGUGAAAUCCCGGGGCUUAACCUCGGAAUUGCUUUCAAAACUAGUAUACUAGAGAAUGGUAGGGGAAGGCGGAAUUCCUAGUGUAGAGGUGAAAUUCGUAGAUAUUAGGAGGAACACCAGAGGCGAAGGCGGCCUUCUGGGCCAUUUCUGACGCUAAGGCGCGAAAGCGUGGGGAGCAAACAGG